UGUUCACCUGGGCAGUCAGAAGUGAUGACAGGAAACAGCAGCCUUGAACCAUCUCUGGAUUCUGUUCAUCUCCUGACCUUCAGGCUCAGAGCAACCGUGGAAUGAACCUUUGAAACACGAAGAGAAAGAAACCCUUUCCUCCUUCCAGAAAAAAAAAAUCCUGAUGCUGAUUUCCGGUCAUCAUCCUCACAGUCCC
Long non-coding RNA from Mus pahari (shrew mouse), 196 nucleotides. RefSeq lists it as uncharacterized. Lineage: Eukaryota; Metazoa; Chordata; Mammalia; Rodentia; Muridae. The record is from RefSeq and is a predicted model, not a curated record. The transcript is spliced from 3 exons.